This 21-nucleotide unclassified non-coding RNA is filed under the name Mus musculus (house mouse). Its description in RNAcentral is "oocyte_clustered_small_RNA13480". The record is from RNAcentral. Lineage: Eukaryota; Metazoa; Chordata; Mammalia; Rodentia; Muridae.
UGACGCGUGUGCUACAAACGG